GAAACGGCUGCUAAUACCGCAUAAGGCCACGGCAUUGAGUGAUGCAGUGGUAAAAGAAUCUAAUCGCACAAAGACGGACUCGCGUCCCAUUAGCUAGUUGGUAAGGUAACGGCUUACCAAGGCGACGAUGGGUAGCCGACCUGAGAGGGUGAUCGGCCACACUGGAACUGAGACACGGUCCAGACUCCUACGGGAGGCAGCAGUGGGGAAUAUUGGGCAAUGGGCGCAAGCCUGACCCAGCAACGCCGCGUGAGGGAAGAAUGUCUUCGGAUUGUAAACCUCUGUCCUUGGGGACGAAAAAAAUGACGGUACCCAAGGAGGAAGCUCCGGCUAACUACGUGCCAGCAGCCGCGGUAAUACGUAGGGAGCAAGCGUUGUCCGGAAUUAUUGGGCGUAAAGGGUGCGUAGGCGGUAGAUCAAGUCAGAUGUGAAAUUCCCAGGCUUAACUUGGGGCGUGCAUUUGAAACUGGUUUACUUGAGUAAAGAAGAGGUAAGUGGAAUUCCUAGUGUAGCGGUGGAAUGCGUAGAUAUUAGGAGGAACACCAGUGGCGAAGGCGACUUACUGGUCUUUUACUGACGCUGAGGC
RNAcentral lists this ribosomal RNA (586 nucleotides) under uncultured bacterium. RNAcentral describes it as "bacterial SSU rRNA". It matches the Rfam family "Bacterial small subunit ribosomal RNA", at positions 153 to 752 of the family's 1533-position model. The record is from RNAcentral.